GGAUGUGAGGGCGAUCUGGCUGCGACAUCUGUCACCCCAUUGAUCGCCAGGGUUGAUUCGGCUGAUCUGGCUGGCUAGGCGGGUGUCCCCUUCCUCCCUCACCGCUCCAUGUGCGUCCCUCCCGAAGCUGCGCGCUCAGUCGAAGAGAACGACCAUCCCCGAUACAGGAGGACCGUUCUUCGGUCAAGGGUAUACGAGUAGCUGCGCUCCCCUGCUAGAACCUCCAAACAAGCUCUCAAGAAUACACAUAUUCAGUAAAGACAUCAUUCUUUCUUGAUGGUGAAUAUGGACCUUCCAAGUCAAGGAUU
This 308-nucleotide small nuclear RNA is filed under the name Castor canadensis (American beaver). RNAcentral describes it as "7SK RNA (ENSCCNG00000011770.1)". It matches the Rfam family "7SK RNA". From Rfam's summary of the family: 7SK was discovered as an abundant small nuclear RNA in the mid-70s but a possible function has only recently been suggested. The record is from RNAcentral. Lineage: Eukaryota; Metazoa; Chordata; Mammalia; Rodentia; Castoridae.